GGUUGAUUUUCAGGUCAUUGCAUUUUCUUGAGAUAUGUUCAUAAAGGACACACACACACAAAUCCCAAUUGAAAGUUUUGGUUUGUGGUGAUCUAAGUCUCUCAGAUUUUAGUAUACAUUAUUUGGAACUCCAAGUGGUUUCAGUGCAAUGAACGUGAAAUAUAUUUUGAUUUACUCUAGACAUAUAUUAUUUAAUGUCUAAUGAAUACAGAUUCAUCUGACCAAAUUCUCACCUCCUGAGAAUUUCUAAUGUUAUAGUUUGCAAAAUAUUCUCAGUACUUCAGCAAACAUAAUUUUAACUGUUAAAGUUCAACAUUACUACAGUUGUUGGCAAUAUUAAAUAAUUUUUGUGUGAUUUCCACUGCACCUUAAAUUUCAGGUCAUAAAGUGUUAUUAAUAUUAUAUGGUUGGAAAUAAUUUCCAGAUCAAUGAAUCAAUGCUAUCUUAAUAUUCUGUCUUUAAUUUUCAUACCACAUGUAUUUUGUGAGUGGUUUUCAUAAGAGGAAGUUGCUUUGUGUUGCCCAGCUCAUUAUCUUGGAUUUUAUCCCUAGUUGAAUUCCCUUUGUGAUCAAAGGGCAGAGAGAACAUCUCCUGAAUUAUUGAACCAUGCUGAUUUGAUGGGUAGGCCACACACAUUAAAGGAAAAAGGAAAAAAGUUUCUCUGCAAAUAUCUACUUGAAGAUAUUUUACCAAAAAGCUGAGAUUUCACUGCAGAAACAACUAAUUCUACUACUUCAUUAAAAGUAAUCUGUUUUUCUAUAUUGGAUCCACAUUGUAUAUAUACAUAUAUACACAUGUGAGUAUUUUGGUAAGUUGCUUCUAUCUGUUCUCUAUGGUUGGUAACAAUCGAUGCUCACACCCACAAAGUACUUAAACAUCUGUAGACUAUUUCCACAAACACUGUAUUAGUUGACUUUUAGAAUUGGAACAAUUUAGAAUAAAUAAUUUAAGAACUCAGAGGCUUAAAGAGAAUGGUAGACUCUGGGCUGCAUAACUCAUUCAUGGCAGAGUAGAUAUUUGAGCCUAGGUCAACCAGUACAAAUCUGACCCCUACCCCGCACACCUAUGUUGGCAUGCUGACAAUUCCAAAUUACUAUUGUACACAUUUUUCUGCCAUUCUUCUCAUUUCAACUUAAUGUAAGUUCAUGGCUUUAUAAUGUGCAUGUUGUGGGGAGAAGCAUUGAUAAGACAAUGAUGAAGGAUUAGCAAGAGUAAACUCACUGAUAAUGGAAAAAGCAAGAAAAUUUUAAUCAUCAUUACAUCAUUAAUACGUUAAUGAUAUUAACACACUUGUUCUUUCUCCUGUCCAUUGAAGAUAAUUCAGGCCUAUUCAGUCAAGUUAGGCACCCCCUCCUACAUCUUUCCCUAUAAGCAGGAUUUUUUAAAAAUUUUUAUUUAUUUGACGGAGAGUGAGCAAGCAAGUAGGGGCAGAUGUAGGCAGAGGGAGAGAGAAGCAGGCUCCCUCCAGAGCAGGGAGCCUCAUGCGGGGCUUGAUCCCAAGACUCAGGGAUCAUGACCUGAGCCAAAAGCUGUCACUUAAGCACCUAAGCCACCCAGGGACCCCUAUAAGCAGGAUUUUACUUCAGAUUUGACACAGAGUAGAAAGAGUAAAUCACAUUAAAGAGGAAUCUGAAGGAAAAAGGCAGGAAAUACAGCCUAGGUGAGAAUGAUACCUCUGCUUUGUUUGGUAUAUUAAUCUAGAGGACAAUGGGAGUGUGGGUUUAGAGUUAUUAAUUUGGGAAUAUUAAAGCCAUGGGUCUCCAUAUGAUCAUCCAAGAAGAAUAUACAGGGAGAAUAAAGAGGCAAAGGAUGGACUUGGAAAUCAUAGUCUCUGUGGAAGACAGGUGCAGAGAAGUCUGUGAAAGGAGACACCACUGCUAUUCUUCACAAAAUUUAUUUUUUAAAUAUUCACAUGAGAAAUUAGAGUUGUUUCUUUUGUUUUUUUUUAAAGAUAAAUAUACAAUCUAUUUAUGCAUCACUGAAGUCAGAUAAAGGAGAACUGCAGAAGACUAUGGUAAUGAAAUAUAACUAACUUUCAAAGAUUUGGUGAAUAUAUUCAUGUUUUAAUCAGUUACACACUGAUAUAAUUUUUUGUUAAAAAUGCAAUAGUAUUUACAAAGUGUCAGUGUGUAAUAAAAGUUGGCAUUUAGUACAUCAAAUUUAUUGUUCUAAUCUUGAAACAAAUAGCAAUAUUCAAAUUCGUUCAAUGUACAUCACUUAUGCUAUAAUUUUCUACAAAAUGAAAAGUAGAGCAAUACAGGUAAGCAUAAUAUGUACUCAUCCAUUUCAACAGGUCAUAUUUUGUUAUUAAUACUAAUAAAAGCACAUUUCUGUAUAUUUAAUCUUUCAAGGCUCUACUCAAAUUUCAAACUUUUGGACUUUACACAUUUAUUAAAUAGGAAUUAUCUUGACUCUCCCAAACUCUUUCAUUUAAACAGAAAAGUUGUUUAGUUUUUAUAAAUACAUAACAUAUAUGUAUAUGUUCUUUAAAAAAAUAUAUAUAUAUGCUCUUGUUAAAAAAAUACAAAUGAAAGGUUUUACCUAAAUUCUGCUUUGUUAACUAUAUAAAUACACAUUUUACACCAAUACAAGAUUUUACUUCAAUUCUGUUUUAUAACCUGAUUUUUCAAUCUCUGUAAAGAUAUGCUAUUUUUUCAUGACCUUAUUCUUCUAUGAUCCUAUUUUCUUUUCUUUUCUUUUUUUUUUAAGAUUUAUUUAUUCAUGAGAGACACAGAGAGGCAGAGAAACAGGCAGAGGGAGAAGCAGGCUCAUGCAGGGACCCUGAUGUGGGAUCCAGACUCCAGGAUCACACCAUGGGCCGAAGGCAGGCACUCAACCGCUGAGCCACCCAGUGAGCCC
This 2859-nucleotide long non-coding RNA is filed under the name Canis lupus familiaris (dog). RNAcentral's name for it is "lncRNA (ENSCAFG00845008491.1)". The record is from RNAcentral. Lineage: Eukaryota; Metazoa; Chordata; Mammalia; Carnivora; Canidae.